AGGAAUAUUGGUCAAUGGACGAGAGUCUGAACCAGCCAAGUAGCGUGAGGGAAGACUGCCCUAUGGGUUGUAAACCUCUUUUGUGCGGGGAUAAAGUGUGGGACGUGUCCCAUAUUGCAGGUACCGCACGAAUAAGGACCGGCUAAUUCCGUGCCAGCAGCCGCGGUAAUACGGAAGGUCCGGGCGUUAUCCGGAUUUAUUGGGUUUAAAGGGAGCGUAGAUGGAUGUUUAAGUCAGUUGUGAAAGUUUGCGGCUCAACCGUAAAAUUGCAGUUGAUACUGGAUAUCUUGAGUGCAGUUGAGGCAGGCGGAAUUCGUGGUGUAGCGGUGAAAUGCUUAGAUAUCACGAAGAACUCCGAUUGCGAAGGCAGCCUGCUAAGCUGCAACUGACAUUGAGGCUCGAAAGUGUGGGUAUCAAACAGGAUUAGAUACCCUGGUAGUCCACACGGUAAACGAUGAAUACUCGCUGUUUGCGAUAUACAGCAAGCGGCCAAGCGAAAGCGUUAAGUAUUCCACCUGGGGAGUACGCCGGCAACGGUGAAACUCAAAGGAAUUGACGGGGGCCCGCACAAGCGGAGGAACAUGUGGUUUAAUUCGAUGAUACGCGAGGAACCUUACCCGGGCUUAAAUUGCAGAUGAAUUACGGUGAAAGCCGUAAGCCGCAAGGCAUCUGUGAAGGUGCUGCAUGGUUGUCGUCAGCUCGUGCCGUGAGGUGUCGGCUUAAGUGCCAUAACGAGCGCAACCCUUGCCGAUAGUUACUAACAGGUUAUGCUGAGGACUCUGUCGGGACUGCCAUCGUAAGAUGUGAGGAAGGUGGGGAUGACGUCAAAUCAGCACGGCCCUUACGUCCGGGGCUACACACGUGUUACAAUGGGGGGUACAGAGGGCUGCUACCACGCAAGUGGAUGCCAAUCCCAAAAACCUCUCUCAGUUCGGAUUGAAGUCUGCAACCCGACUUCAUGAAGCUGGAUUCGCUAGUAAUCGCGCAUCAGCCACGGCGCGGUGAAUACGUUCCCG
Molecule: ribosomal RNA, 1016 nt
Filed under: uncultured bacterium
Lineage: Bacteria
Description: bacterial SSU rRNA
Rfam family: Bacterial small subunit ribosomal RNA
Source: RNAcentral